UACGUAGGGUGCGAGCGUUGUCCGGAAUUAUUGGGCGUAAAGAGCUCGUAGGCGGUUUGUCGCGUCGACUGUGAAAACCUGGGGCUUAACUCUGGGCCUGCAGUCGAUACGGGCAGACUUGAGUUCGGUAGGGGAGACUGGGAUUCCUGGUGUAGCGGUGAAAUGCGCAGAUAUCAGGAGGAACACCGGUGGCGAAGGCGGGUCUCUGGGCCGAUACUGACGCUGAGGAGCGAAAGCGUGGGGAGCGAACAGG
RNAcentral lists this ribosomal RNA (253 nucleotides) under uncultured bacterium. RNAcentral describes it as "partial 16S ribosomal RNA". It matches the Rfam family "Bacterial small subunit ribosomal RNA", at positions 524 to 776 of the family's 1533-position model. The record is from RNAcentral.